RNAcentral lists this ribosomal RNA (352 nucleotides) under uncultured bacterium. RNAcentral's name for it is "bacterial SSU rRNA". It matches the Rfam family "Bacterial small subunit ribosomal RNA", at positions 8 to 350 of the family's 1533-position model. The record is from RNAcentral.
AGAGUUUGAUCAUGGCUCAGGAUGAACGCUAGCUACAGGCUUAACACAUGCAAGUCGAGGGGAAACGACAUCGAAAGCUUGCUUUUGAUGGGCGUCGACCGGCGCACGGGUGAGUAACGCGUAUCCAACCUGCCCACCACUUGGGGAUAACCUUGCGAAAGUAAGACUAAUACCCAAUGACGUCUCUAGAAGACAUCUGAAGGAGAUUAAAGAUUUAUCGGUGAUGGAUGGGGAUGCGUCUGAUUAGCUUGUUGGCGGGGUAACGGCCCACCAAGGCGACGGAUCAGUAGGGGUUCUGAGGAGGAAGGUCCCCACAUUGGACUGAGACACGGUCCAACUCCGUACGGAGGCA